UAAAAAGUGGUCUAGUGGUAAUGACGUUUGUCUUACAGUUUCCAAAAGGUCGCCGAUUAGAUCCCGGCCGGGCUCG
Mycena alexandri is the source of this 76-nucleotide non-coding RNA. The record is from the annotation of a GenBank genome assembly. NCBI's taxonomy places the organism in Eukaryota, Fungi, Basidiomycota, Agaricomycetes, Agaricales, Mycenaceae.